Ralstonia pickettii 12D is the source of this 130-nucleotide non-coding RNA. Lineage: Bacteria; Pseudomonadati; Pseudomonadota; Betaproteobacteria; Burkholderiales; Burkholderiaceae. The record is from Rfam.
UCCACCUUGCGCGACUGGCGAAUCCUGAAGCUGCUUUGAGCGGCUUCGACAUGUGGGCAGCGACCACGAGGAAGCGCAAGGUUUCUGGCGUCAUGCACAACGGCGCCUGCCGCUCGCCUGGGCAGCGAAU